This 250-nucleotide ribosomal RNA is filed under the name uncultured bacterium. Its description in RNAcentral is "partial 16S ribosomal RNA". It matches the Rfam family "Bacterial small subunit ribosomal RNA", at positions 524 to 773 of the family's 1533-position model. The record is from RNAcentral.
UACGGAGGAUCCGAGCGUUAUCCGGAUUUAUUGGGUUUAAAGGGUGCGUAGGCGGCCUGUUAAGUCAGGGGUGAAAUACGGUGGCUCAACCAUCGCAGUGCCUUUGAUACUGACGGGCUUGAAUCCAUAUGAAGUGGGCGGAAUAAGACAAGUAGCGGUGAAAUGCAUAGAUAUGUCUUAGAACUCCGAUUGCGAAGGCAGCUCACUAAGCUGGUAUUGACGCUGAUGCACGAAAGCGUGGGGAUCGAAC